RNAcentral lists this ribosomal RNA (833 nucleotides) under uncultured Staphylococcus sp. RNAcentral's name for it is "bacterial SSU rRNA". It matches the Rfam family "Bacterial small subunit ribosomal RNA", at positions 26 to 841 of the family's 1533-position model. The record is from RNAcentral. Lineage: Bacteria; Bacillati; Bacillota; Bacilli; Caryophanales; Staphylococcaceae.
AGGACGAACGCUGGCGGCGCGCUUAACACAUGCAAGUCGAACGAACGGACGAGAAGCUUGCUUCUCUGAUGUUAGCGGAGGACGGGUGAGUAACACGUGGAUAACCUACCUAUAAGACUGGGAUAACUUCGGGAAACCGGAGCUAAUACCGGAUAAUAUUUUGAACCGCAUGGUUCAAAAGUGAAAGACGGUCUUGCUGUCACUUAUAGAUGGAUCCGCGCUGCAUUAGCUAGUUGGUAAGGUAACGGCUUACCAAGGCAACGAUGCAUAGCCGACCUGAGAGGGUGAUCGGCCACACUGGAACUGAGACACGGUCCAGACUCCUACGGGAGGCAGCAGUAGGGAAUCUUCCGCAAUGGGCGAAAGCCUGACGGAGCAACGCCGCGUGAGUGAUGAAGGUCUUCGGAUCGUAAAACUCUGUUAUUAGGGAAGAACAUAUGUGUAAGUAACUGUGCACAUCUUGACGGUACCUAAUCAGAAAGCCACGGCUAACUACGUGCCAGCAGCCGCGGUAAUACGUAGGUGGCAAGCGUUAUCCGGAAUUAUUGGGCGUAAAGCGCGCGUAGGCGGUUUUUUAAGUCUGAUGUGAAAGCCCACGGCUCAACCGUGGAGGGUCAUUGGAAACUGGAAAACUUGAGUGCAGAAGAGGAAAGUGGAAUUCCAUGUGUAGCGGUGAAAUGCGCAGAGAUAUGGAGGAACACCAGUGGCGAAGGCGACUUUCUGGUCUGUAACUGACGCUGAUGUGCGAAAGCGUGGGGAUCAAACAGGAUUAGAUACCCUGGUAGUCCACGCCGUAAACGAUGAGUGCUGAGUGUUAGGGGGUUUCCGCCCCU